RNAcentral lists this ribosomal RNA (492 nucleotides) under uncultured bacterium. RNAcentral's name for it is "partial 16S ribosomal RNA". It matches the Rfam family "Bacterial small subunit ribosomal RNA", at positions 29 to 507 of the family's 1533-position model. The record is from RNAcentral.
AGUGAACGCUGGCGGUAGGCCUAACACAUGCAAGUCGAACGGCAGCACAGUAAGAGCUUGCUCUUACGGGUGGCGAGUGGCGGACGGGUGAGGAAUACAUCGGAAUCUACUUUUUCGUGGGGGAUAACGUAGGGAAACUUACGCUAAUACCACAUACGACCUACGGGUGAAAGCAGGGGAUCUUCGGACCUUGCGCGAUUGAAUGAGCCGAUGUCGGAUUAGCUAGUUGGCGGGGUAAAGGCCCACCAAGGCGACGAUCCGUAGCUGGUCUGAGAGGAUGAUCAGCCACACUGGAACUGGGACACGGUCCAGACUCCUACGGGAGGAAGCAGUGGGGAAUAUUGGACAAUGGGCGCAAGCCUGAUCCAGCCAUACCGCGUGGGUGAAGAAGGCCUUCGGGUUGUAAAGCCCCUUUGUUGGGAAAGAAAAGCAGCAGGUUAAUACCCCGCUGUUCUGACGGUACCCAAAGAAUAAGCACCGGCUAACUUCGUG